RNAcentral lists this ribosomal RNA (253 nucleotides) under uncultured bacterium. RNAcentral's name for it is "partial 16S ribosomal RNA". It matches the Rfam family "Bacterial small subunit ribosomal RNA", at positions 524 to 776 of the family's 1533-position model. The record is from RNAcentral.
UACGUAGGGCGCAAGCGUUAUCCGGAAUUAUUGGGCGUAAAGAGCUCGUAGGCGGUUUGUCGCGUCUGCCGUGAAAGUCCGGGGCUCAACUCCGGAUCUGCGGUGGGUACGGGCAGACUAGAGUGAUGUAGGGGAGACUGGAAUUCCUGGUGUAGCGGUGAAAUGCGCAGAUAUCAGGAGGAACACCGAUGGCGAAGGCAGGUCUCUGGGCAUUAACUGACGCUGAGGAGCUAAAGCAUGGGGAGCUAACAGG